AUAUUUAUAUGAGCAGUACAUAAUCUAAAAUUGGAAUGAUACAUAGAAGAUUAACAUGGCCCCUGUGCAAGGAUGACACACAAAUUCAUGAAGCGUUCCAUAUUUUC
Molecule: small nuclear RNA, 107 nt
Organism: Octopus sinensis (East Asian common octopus)
Lineage: Eukaryota; Metazoa; Mollusca; Cephalopoda; Octopoda; Octopodidae
Source: RefSeq, a predicted model, not a curated record